RNAcentral lists this ribosomal RNA (253 nucleotides) under uncultured bacterium. Its description in RNAcentral is "partial 16S ribosomal RNA". It matches the Rfam family "Bacterial small subunit ribosomal RNA", at positions 524 to 776 of the family's 1533-position model. The record is from RNAcentral.
UACGUAGGGUCCGAGCGUUGUCCGGAAUUAUUGGGCGUAAAGCGUGCGUAGACGGUUAUGUAAGUCAGAUGUGAAAGCCCCGGGCUCAACCUGGGAAUUGCAUUUGAGACUGCAUAGCUAGGGUGCGGAAGAGGGAAGCGGAAUUUCCGGUGUAGCGGUGAAAUGCGUAGAUGUCGGAAGGAACACCAGUGGCGAAAGCGGCUUCCUGGUCCAGCACCGACGUUCAGGCACGAAAGCGUGGGGAGCAAACAGG